Molecule: transfer RNA, 46 nt
Filed under: Metzgeria frontipilis
Lineage: Eukaryota; Viridiplantae; Streptophyta; Jungermanniopsida; Metzgeriales; Metzgeriaceae
Also listed under: 8 other names
Description: partial tRNA-Phe
Source: RNAcentral
CCGGAAUAGCUCAGUCGGUAGAGCAGAGGACUGAAAAUCCUCGUGU